AUCAUAGGUAUGGUGAUUUAAAUAGGAGUCCAAAGCUUCUUGUUUUCGUACAUGUUUGGUGUUUAUCAUGUCAGCAGUCAGUGGUGCCCUCAAAGGUCUUGUUCUUAGAGUUCUCUAGGAACUGGGUCUAAAUAUCUCAGGAUGCAUAGUGGGACCUCACAUUUGGCAAAAAGAAUUAAGAGUAAAAAUUAUGUGAGGUCGAUCACACUUGAAGACCUUUUAUCCUUUCUGAUUUAGUUGGUGCACAGCAGUACAUAUGGUUCCCAAUUUGCUAAGAUGCUCAACUCCAUACCAGAGUGAACUCCAAUGCGAAUCCAUAUUGGGAGGCCAGGAAGAUGCUCCAGCUCAAAGGUCCCCAUGAAGCUGAGGAUUUCCAAGGCCAUCUUGGCAAUGUCUAUUGCAUGCCGAUUGCCAUUUCUCUUAGGCAAACCACUAGCCACCAUGUACGCAUCACCGAUGGUUUCCACCUGUGGAAACAGUUUCUCAUGAGUGCCUCUGCCCCUUUGAAAAGUAUAGAAAGUAAACAGAAGCAGUUAAUCACAUGUCAAACACAAAAAGUGAUUUGGGAACACAGUAUGAGCAUAGCCCUUUACACUUUUUCUGGGGCCAGUUGGAUCAGUUCUAUGCUGAUUUCUUCAGGGUUUUUAUAGUCCAGUUAAUGGGUGAUAAAAUAGCUAUAAAGGAAUUUAGCCAUUUAAAAGUACUUCAUAAUUAUAUAAAUUGUCCAGAUGUGGUGACAGUUCUAGAAAUGUUCAAAUAAAUAAUCUGAAUGGUUUUAUGUAAUUUGAGGAACACCCUUAGUUUCCUGAAAAUUAAUCCUUUAGCAAAUGUCAACAUACUAUUUAACAGAAUAUUGUACUUUGUAAUAUGUAAUUGUAUACAUUCUUGUAGUAUGAUUUUCUAUUUAUUAUAACCCCAGUGUCUUCUCUGCUUCAUUUGCAGUCAGCCUAAACACUGCCCAUUUUUUGGAGGUGAUUUAAGAGUAUGCCAUUUUGUCUAAAUUUAAUACUUCAAAUUAAUUCCUGCUGAACUUCCUGUUGUAUCUUUUUUGCUGCUUCUUAAAGUUGAAUGGUAAUUUUGACUUCUCACUCCUCUAAUCCUUCUACUUCUCUUCACUUUUAGCUCAGAUUCAACCACCAAUUCACUAAAUGUGAAACUAGAGCGGUCAAGAGUAGUAACAGAAACAACCAAUUCAGGCUCUGAUGACCUUGAGUUGUACAAUUAAUGGUUUCAGCCUGUUAGGUGAUGUGGUUACCUUGUAGACAUCAUGAUGAUCAACAAUGUGGUCAAAACUCUUAUAGAUGUCAUUAAGCAUGUCCACCACUUCCAUGGGGGUGCUGUAUUUGCAGAUAGUAGUGAAACCUACAAUGUCACUGAAGUAGAUUGUAACUUCCUCAUAUAGUUCCGGCUCCACAAAGCCUUUCUCCUUCAGAGACUUUACCACUAGCCUAGAUGAACGAAGGGAAAAAAAAUGCCUUCAACUUCAGCAAAUUUCUUCUUGUUUCACAUAAAUCUUUCAGGUAGUAGUGAUUGUCUACCAAGAAUUCUAGAAUUUGAGACUUCCAGUGAAUUGAGUGAAUCGGAAACAGAGGUUGUGUAUAUCAUAUACAUGAACAUAUUACACAAAUACACAUAUAAUGCAUGUUGUGAACACAGAUGAAUACAAGCAGGUUCAACAUUAACUUAGUGUUUGAUUAUUAAUCCUAAUACACAUAAAUAGAUAACUUUAAUAUCCUCAAAACUCUCAUACAUAUACAUACUUGUCCACUUUUUGCUUCUCUAUUGAUAAUCAACCUCUUACAGAUGUGGCUCUACAUGCAGAAGCUGAGGAGAGUGUGGUAUUACUUAAAUCACCACAGGUAUCAGAUCUGAAUUUCUCAACAAAGUUGAUAGUUUUACUUUCCUGGCAUAUGUAAUAUGGCAUUGCUUAAUAUUACUAUGAAAUAAUGAUGCAUUUAAAUAUAAAUUUUGAUAUAUUCUGAACCAGAGUUCAUUUGAUAUUUUGAACCAGAUUUGGGUCCUUUGUAAAGCAGAAUCAAUCAUGUAAAUAAAUUAAAUCAUGCUAAAACUGUAGAAGUCAAAUUAAAGCAACUUUUAGAAUAUCUUUGCUGAAUGAGGAGCAGCAUAUCAGAUUCAAGAUUGAAGGAAGAGAACCAGAAGAAGGGACUCCAUACUUGGUGUGCCAAGUUACCUCUUCAUUGAGAAAAGGAAGUGAGGGCUGACAUGAAGUGGGAUGGUCCCUGUCUGUCCUUGGCAUCACUUUGUAGUGGCCCUCAGUAUGGAACCACUAGAAUCAGAAACUGGAAGCUGGGAGGUUCCACGGAAGUCAUUGAAAAGAAAUCUUUAUUUUUACAGAUGAGAAAGUUGAGGUCUAAAAAAGUAUGACUUCCCUAAGUUCCCACAGCCGAUUAGGGACAGAGCCAGGGCUAGAAUUCAGGAAGCCUUCAGUCCCACCCAUCAGUCUUUUUUUGCAUUACACUCCCUGCACAACCCAGGCCUUGGAUAUUCAGGAAGAUGGGGAAGAUUUGGAGGUAUGCUGACUGCAACAAAGGAGGUGGGCUCUCCCGGAAAGAAAACAACCAAUCAACCACAAAGAUUUCUAACACUCAUUUGGAGAACCUCCAGAGUAUCCGGAGAAACCUUUUUAAUUGGUGCAAUGACAAAACUUGGAACCUUUGAAAAACAUUCCUUUGGUGUGGCUUGGAUUCCUAGGUACACGACUGGAGUGGUUGUUCUUGACAUGCCCUGUAUAAAGUGCAUAGUAUUUUGGAGGCUGCAUAGAUGCAAUGACAAAAUUGGAUAUUCUGCCAUAUUUGCAAUUCAUUGUACUGCUUAUAUCUGAAAAGUCACAUGAGUUUGGUGAUAUGGUUUGGCUCCGUGUCCCCACCCAAAUCUCAUGCUGAAUUGUAAUCCCCAAUGUUAAGGGAGGGACCUGGUGGGAGGUGAUGGGAUCAUGGGUGCAGAUUUCCCCAUUGCUGUUCCUGUGUUAGUGAGUUCUCAUGAGAUCUAGUUGUUUGAACGUGUGUGGCACCUCCCCCUUUGCUCUCUCUCUCUCUUCCUGCCAUGCGAAGAAGGUGCUUGCUUCCCCUUCACUCUUCCACCAUGGUUGUACAUUUCCUGAGGCCUCCCCAGCCAUGCUUCUUGAACACCCUGUGGAACUGUGAGUUAUUUAAACCUCCUUUCCUCAUAAAUUACCUAGUCUCGGGUAGUUCUUUAUAAUAGGGUGAGAAUGGACUAUUACACUUGGAAAAUAGUGUGUUAUCCAGAGAGAGAAACUCAUGUUGUAAAUAAACGAAGGAAGGGCUGGGAGUUAACAUGAUGAGCUUUGAUAACAGGUUGUUGCUGACAUAGAUAAAAUUAGUAUACAGAGUAGAUCUCUUAGAAAGUCUUCCCAGAAGAAAAAACUUCUGGCCAGGCACAGUGGCUCACACCUGUAAUCCCAGCACUUUGGGAGGCCGAGGUGGGUGAAUCACCUGAGGUCAGGAGUUCGAGACCAGUCUGGCCAACAUGGUGAAACCCCCUCUCUACUAAAAAUGCAAAAAUUAGCUGGGUGUGGUGGCAGGCGCCUGUAAUCCCAGCUACUUGGGAGGCUGAGGCAGGAGAAUUGCUUGAACCCAGGAGGCAGAGGUUGCAGUGAGCUGAGCUCAUGUCGUUGCACUCCAGCCUGGGCAACAAGAGUGAAACUCCAUCUCAAAAAUAAAUAAAUUAAUUAAUUAAAUAAAAUAAAAAUAAAAAAGAAGAAACUUCUAUUUUAAUGUAUUUACCCCAAGGGGUACUAUUCAAAUAAAUGUCUAAGUGAUAUCUGGUUCCUACAUGCAAUCUUAAGUUUAUUUGCCCUUUGCUACACAUAUUUCUUUUUGAUUCUUCUAGUUAUUGCUCAUGCAUGUUUUAGUUUUAUCUUGCGCAUAAAAUUUUUACAUAAAUAACCAAAGUGAGUUGUGCUGAAGCCAUGGUGUAUUGUAGCUCUUCAAGAGACUUGUGUGAUAU
Molecule: long non-coding RNA, 3987 nt
Filed under: Homo sapiens (human)
Lineage: Eukaryota; Metazoa; Chordata; Mammalia; Primates; Hominidae
Description: LHRI_LNC1926.1
Source: RNAcentral